RNAcentral lists this ribosomal RNA (440 nucleotides) under uncultured bacterium. RNAcentral's name for it is "partial 16S ribosomal RNA". It matches the Rfam family "Bacterial small subunit ribosomal RNA", at positions 338 to 795 of the family's 1533-position model. The record is from RNAcentral.
CCUACGGGUGACAUCAGUAGGGAAUAUUGCUCAAUGGGGGAAACCCUGAAGCAGCAACGCCGCGUGGAGGAUGAAGGUUCUCGGAUUGUAAACUCCCUUUGUUAGAGAAGAUAAUGACGGUACCUAACGAAUAAGCACCGGCGAACUCCGUGCCAGCAGCCGUGGUAAUACGGAGGGCGCAAGCGUUAUUCGGAAUCACUGGGCGUAAAGAGCGCGUAGGCGGGAUAGCAAGUCAGAUGUGAAAUCCUAUGGCUUAACCAUAGAACUGCAUUUGAAACUGUUAGUCUAGAGUAUGGGAGAGGUAGGUGGAAUUCGUGGUGUAGGGGUAAAAUCCGUAGAGAUCAAGAGGAAUACUCAUUGCGAAGGCAGCCUGCUAGAACAUAACUGACGCUGAUGCGCGAAAGCGUGGGGAGCAAACAGGAUUAGAUACCCCAGUAGUC